Molecule: long non-coding RNA, 327 nt
Filed under: Elaeis guineensis (African oil palm)
Lineage: Eukaryota; Viridiplantae; Streptophyta; Magnoliopsida; Arecales; Arecaceae
Description: long non-coding RNA (EGUI_LNC081910)
Source: RNAcentral
CUUCCUUAAACUCGUCUGCAUCUUCCUCUAGCAUGCUUGCACGGCCAUGCAUCACCGUGCCCACUUGAUUGUUCUGGCGCUCGUUGCCAUCACCGACCGCCGGUUGGACGACUCUCAGUUGUGCCACUGUGGCUACCAUCGCCGAUCAUAGCCGCUACCGAUCUUGAGCCUCACCUGCUCUAGGAAAGAGAGGAGACGGAGAAAAAAAAGAGAGAGAAAGAUAUUUUUUUUUCUCUCUCCAUUUUCUUUUUAGUUUCUCUUUCUAUAAAUUUCCCACUCUAAAUUGUUUUACUCUCCAUUGUCUACUUUAGGAUUGUUUAAUACAGU